This 505-nucleotide ribosomal RNA is filed under the name uncultured bacterium. RNAcentral describes it as "partial 16S ribosomal RNA". It matches the Rfam family "Bacterial small subunit ribosomal RNA", at positions 28 to 523 of the family's 1533-position model. The record is from RNAcentral.
GAUGAACGCUAGCUACAGGCUUAACACAUGCAAGUCGAGGGGUAACAAGAGGAAAGCUUGCUUUUCUUGUUGACGACCGGCGCACGGGUGAGUAACGCGUAUCCAACCUGCCUAUAACUGGGAAUAACCUUGCGAAAGUAAGACUAAUACCCUAUGAUAUCCUUUGAUGACAUCAGAUUAGGAAUAAAGAUUUAUCGGUUAUAGAUGGGGAUGCGUCUGAUUAGCUUGUUGGCAGGGUAACGGCCCACCAAGGCAACGAUCAGUAGGGGUUCUGAGAGGAAGGUCCCCCACAUGGGAACUGAGACACGGUCCAAACUCCUACGGGAGGCAGCAGUGAGGAAUAUUGGUCAAUGGGCGGAAGCCUGAACCAGCCGAGUAGCGUGCAGGGUGACGGCCCUAUGGGUUGUAAACUGCUUUUAUACAGGAAUAAAGUUAGCCACGUGUGGUUAUUUGUAGGUACUGUAUGAAUAAGGACCGGCUAAUUCCGUGCCAGCAGCCGCGGUAA